AAAAAAUAAAAAUAAGUACAAAUCAACAUAUUAUAUUUUUACAUAAAUAAAAUUAAUCAUUUAUUAAAAAAAAUAAUAUAAAAGACUUUGAAAAUCUAAUAACAUUGAUAGAGUAUAGAAGUUGGCUAAUAGGUUGGAGUGCACUCGUGUCUCUUUAUUAUGAACUCCAUUAGAUAACCUCAAAAUUUAAACCUCCUAUUGAAUGAAUGAUAUGCA
Molecule: unclassified non-coding RNA, 216 nt
Filed under: Hevea brasiliensis (rubber tree)
Lineage: Eukaryota; Viridiplantae; Streptophyta; Magnoliopsida; Malpighiales; Euphorbiaceae
Source: RNAcentral